GAGGAAUAUUGCACAAUGGGGGAAACCCUGACGCAGCGACGCCGCGUGAGUGAUGAAGGCCUUCGGGUUGUAAAGCUCUGUCAGAGGGAAAGAAAGGGGAUAUGGCUAAUAUCCAUGUCCAUUGACGGUACCCUCAGAUGAAGCACCGGCUAACUCCGUGCCAGCAGCCGCGGUAAUACGGAGGGUGCUAGUGUUAUUCGGAAUCACUGGGCGUAAAGAGCACGUAGGCGGAUAGGUAAGUCAGAUGUGAAAUCCCGAAGCUUAACUUCGGAACUGCAUUUGAUACUGCCUGUCUUGAGUGUGGUAGAGGGGGAUGGAAUUCCCGGUGUAGAGGUGAAAUUCGCAGAUAUCGGGAGGAACACCAGAGGCGAAGGCGAUCCCCUGGGCCACUACUGACGCUGAGGUGCGAAAGCGUGGGGAGCAAAC
RNAcentral lists this ribosomal RNA (426 nucleotides) under uncultured bacterium. RNAcentral describes it as "bacterial SSU rRNA". It matches the Rfam family "Bacterial small subunit ribosomal RNA", at positions 356 to 773 of the family's 1533-position model. The record is from RNAcentral.